This 251-nucleotide ribosomal RNA is filed under the name uncultured prokaryote. Its description in RNAcentral is "partial 16S rRNA". It matches the Rfam family "Bacterial small subunit ribosomal RNA", at positions 525 to 775 of the family's 1533-position model. The record is from RNAcentral.
ACGAAGGGAGCUAGCGUUGUUCGGAGUUACUGGGCGUAAAGGGCGCGUAGGCGGUUCGGCAAGUCAGAUGUGAAAGCCCUGGGCUCAACCCAGGAACUGCGUUUGAGACUGCCGUACUUGAAUUCGGGAGAGGUGAGUGGAAUUCCCAGUGUAGAGGUGAAAUUCGUAGAGAUUGGGAAGAACACCAGUGGCGAAGGCGGCUCACUGGACCGACAUUGACGCUGAGGCGCGAAAGCGUGGGGAGCAAACAG